AAGAGUCCUAAAGCAACCUGAGGAACAAUGCAAGAUACCCUGCAGGGUUAUCAGCCUCCUACAAGGGAGUCCCAGGCCCAUGACUCUUUCCAGAAAGAUUCUCCAUUCCUCAUUUUCCUCUAUGGCUACUAGUCAAUUUCUGAGGUUUGACUGAAUUAUCAAAUUCAAAUCUGCCCAGAUGUCAGUGUUAUCAUUUUCGUGUCUCCUGAUGGAAAUAUUCUUUGAUUGGUUACUAAGACCUCUAAACCAGCAGAGCCCAUAGUUGAGGAAAUGAGAAUGAAAAACUAUCUAAGUGGGUUAUUAGAUGUAAUAAUGAACGAUGUUAACACUCAUUUCUUUUCUUUUUUGAAACAGGGUCUUUCUCUGUCACCCAAGCUGGAGUGCAAUGGUGUAAUCAUAGCUCACUGCAGCCUCGACUCCUGGGCUCAACUCUCACUUCAGGCACGUACGUGUCUCACCCAAGGCAUCGAAAAUACCUGGGCAUGCUGGCUGUCAUCUGGAGGCAAUCAGAGAUGGUAAGAAUGCCCGGUAUAAAGAGAAUUGGCAACGGUAACUCCCUGUAGCAAGGUGGGUUCCCUGACAGAAGAGGAAAAGGAGGGAGAGCUGCAUUUGCUGAGAUCAACAGAGUGACAUCCUAGGGUCUGAGCCUCAACCCUCCAGGCCGCAAGCCUCCCACUUCCACUCCACCAACCUUGACUUGUGGAACAUGCAUCCUCCUGGGGAUAAACCUCUACCAAGAUGUUCUUGUAAGAGUGGCUGCAAGUGCCUGCAUCAGAACCUCAGGAAAGCUGAUAAAGUUGAAGAGUCCUUGCUUUCCUCACUUGGGAGGGGGUGCUGCUGCUGGCAUUUAAGAUGAUUCUGAUUCAUGCUACAGUCUGACAACCUACAAAGCUGCAUGGAAGAAAACUCUCUUCCACAUGGCCUGGAGAGACCUAAGCAUCCACGUGCUCACUGCUCUCAGUGCUCAGAGAAGAGAACACCUGGGAAAUUGUCUUUGAAUUAUAUAGAACAAGUUGUCCACUAAAUGAAUAACAUCUGGAAGCAUUCCAACCUGGUAAAGCCCCUUGAGUGUUGCCUAUGAUGUGGGUGCAUCUGAUUCCAGGUCAUAUGUGCAAUGCUCUGCUGCAGACACUUUAGCUUUCAGAUUUUGUGGAAUAUUGUUACAGGAACACAGGUCUAUGCAAUGAGGUCUUGUAGCUGCUUCCUAAGCUUUGCACAUCAAUCCAUCAGCUCUAACAUUCUGGACAAUAUUAUUGCUGGCUACAAUAGUACUAUUUAUAAUAGUUCAAAUGAAUCAGAUUGAUUUUCUCCUUGAACACUAGAAUAUUUACUCUGAAUCAUCAAGGGCAAAAGGUCAAUUCCCCUCAAAAAGAUCAUGCAACCCUCUCUAUCAGAGGAUAAACAAUUCUUCAAGUAUUGAGGAAAGAAAAAUGACUUUGGGCCAGGCAUGGUGGCUCACACCUAUAAUCCCAGCACUUUGGGAGGCCGAGGAGGGAGACCUCACUUGAGGUCAGGAGUUCGAGACCAGCCUCGGUAAUAUGGUGAAACCCCAUCUCUACUAAAAACACAAAAAUUAGCUGGGCAUGGUGGCAGGAGCCUGUAAUCCCAGCUAUUUGGGAGGCUGAGGCAGUAGAAUCACUUGAACCCGGGAGGUGGAGGUUGCAGUGAGCCACGAUUGCACUAUUGCACUCCAGCCUGGGUGACAGAGCGAGACU
This 1715-nucleotide long non-coding RNA is filed under the name Homo sapiens (human). Its description in RNAcentral is "non-protein coding lnc-SUSD1-7:5". Lineage: Eukaryota; Metazoa; Chordata; Mammalia; Primates; Hominidae. The record is from RNAcentral.